CCUACGGGAGGCAGCAGUGGGGAAUUUUGGACAAUGGACGCAAGUCUGAUCCAGCCAUGCCGCGUGUGGGAAGAAGGCCUUCGGGUUGUAAACCACUUUUGUCAGGGAAGAAACGGUCUGGGUUAAUACCUUGGGCUAAUGACGGUACCUGAAGAAUAAGCACCGGCUAACUACGUGCCAGCAGCCGCGGUAAUACGUAGGGUGCAAGCGUUAAUCGGAAUUACUGGGCGUAAAGCGUGCGCAGGCGGUUAUGCAAGACAGAUGUGAAAUCCCCGGGCUCAACCUGGGAACUGCAUUUGUGACUGCAUGGCUAGAGUACGGUAGAGGGGGAUGGAAUUCCGCGUGUAGCAGUGAAAUGCGUAGAUAUGCGGAGGAACACCGAUGGCGAAGGCAAUCCCCUGGACCUGUACUGACGCUCAUGCACGAAAGCGUGGGGAGCAAACAGGAUUAGAUACCCUGGUAGUCCACGCCCUAAACGAUGUCAACUGGUUGUUGGGAGGGUUUCUUCUCAGUAACGUAGCUAACGCGUGAAGUUGACCGCCUGGGGNGACGCGCGAGUAGAAGUAAUAGAGUGAGNGNGAGAGUGCGAGACGACGACGAGGGAGGAGG
Molecule: ribosomal RNA, 609 nt
Filed under: uncultured bacterium
Lineage: Bacteria
Description: bacterial SSU rRNA
Rfam family: Bacterial small subunit ribosomal RNA (bases 1-542)
Source: RNAcentral